AGUCGAACGAGAAAGUGGAGCAAUCCAUGAGUACAGUGGCGUACGGGUGAGUAACACGUGGAUCAUCUACCUUUUAGUGGGGAAUAACCUUGGGAAACCGAGGAUAAUACCGCAUAAGCCCGAGAGGGGAAAGCAGCAAUGCGCUGAAAGAGGAGUCCGCGGCCGAUUAGCUAGUUGGCAGGGUAAAAGCCUACCAAGGCAUCGAUCGGUAGCCGGCCUGAGAGGGCACACGGCCACACUGGCACUGAAACACGGGCCAGACUCCUACGGGAGGCAGCAGUGGGGAAUCUUGCACAAUGGGGGAAACCCUGAUGCAGCGACGCCGCGUGAGCGAUGAAGCCCUUCGGGGUGUAAAGCUCUUUCGGCAGGGAAGAUUAUGACGGUACCUGCAGAAGCAGCUGCGGCUAACUACGUGCCAGCAGCCGCGGUAAUACGUAGGCAGCAAGCGUUGUUCGGAGUUACUGGGCGUAAAGGGUGUGUAGGCGGUUGUUUAAGUUUGGUGUGAAAUCUCCCGGCUCAACUGGGAGGGUGCGCCGAAUACUGAAUGACUUCGAGUGCGGGAGAGGAAAGUGGAAUUCCUGGUGUAGCGGUGAAAUGCGUAGAUAUCAGGAGGAACACCGGUGGUGUAGACGGCUUUCUGGACCGUAACUGACGCUGAGACACGAAAGCGUGGGUAGCAAACAGGAUUAGAUACCCUGGUAGUCCACGCCCUAAACGAUGCAUAUUUGGUGUGGGCAGUUCAUUCUGUCCGUGCCGGAGCUAACGCGUUAAAUAUGCCGCCUGGGGAGUACAGUCGCAAGGCUGAAACUCAAAGGAAUUGACGGGGGCCCGCACAAGCGGUGGAGCAUGUGGUUCAAUUCGACGCAACGCGAAGAACCUUACCUGGGCUCGAACGGCUGGUUAACGGCGUUGGAAACAGCGCUACCCC
RNAcentral lists this ribosomal RNA (928 nucleotides) under uncultured Bacillota bacterium. RNAcentral's name for it is "bacterial SSU rRNA". It matches the Rfam family "Bacterial small subunit ribosomal RNA", at positions 60 to 1018 of the family's 1533-position model. Lineage: Bacteria; Bacillati; Bacillota. The record is from RNAcentral.